This 89-nucleotide unclassified non-coding RNA is filed under the name Pseudomonas sp. OV546. The record is from RNAcentral. Lineage: Bacteria; Pseudomonadati; Pseudomonadota; Gammaproteobacteria; Pseudomonadales; Pseudomonadaceae.
UGUGGGAGGGGGCUUGCUCCCGAUGGCGAUGGGUCAGGUACAUAUUUAUUGGCUGAUACACCGCUAUCGGGAGCAAGCCCCCUCCCACA